CAUAAAAAAGGAGGGAACAGUGAUAAUAACAACAGUAUAUAGGAAGCGGACUUGUCGGCCCAUGCUGGUCCCGAGCUGGUCGCCUGACCCGAUAGUGCGGGGGGCUGCUGCAUUCGGAUAUUGCUUCGGGAGAGCGUGUGAAUGCACGGUGGGGGGCCGGGACUUGCAUGAGGGGCUCAGCUGCAUCUACAGAGUGGAGCGUGGGCGUGGGUGCUCCAAGAGGUUCUUUAGCACCAUGCACAACAGGAUCGGGGCGGCCCAGAGUGAAGAGAGGGGUGGCACUAAUGGGAUGGGCAGGCGCAGUG
Molecule: long non-coding RNA, 305 nt
Filed under: Androctonus crassicauda
Lineage: Eukaryota; Metazoa; Arthropoda; Arachnida; Scorpiones; Buthidae
Source: RNAcentral